Salvia hispanica is the source of this 656-nucleotide non-coding RNA. NCBI's taxonomy places the organism in Eukaryota, Viridiplantae, Streptophyta, Magnoliopsida, Lamiales, Lamiaceae. The record is from RefSeq and is a predicted model, not a curated record.
UGCGUUUGCUUUCACAAACUCCAAUUGAUUCUCUCCACCUUGGUUUAGUUAUUAGUAAACUUAUUUGUUUACUUUAACAAGCUUUUAUUCUCAUGCAUUUAAAAGUAGAUAACAUGGCAAGUGCUACAAUUGCAUGUGUCCUUUAUUCUUCAUCCAACAUUCAUUACUUUUCCUUUUUUCUAUAUAUAUCAAUAUCAAUGUCUAUAGCAAUAGCAUCAACCAUUCAAGAACAUGAAGAUGCAAUCACUUUUGUUCAUCUUCUUCUUAGCCAUUGCUUUGGUGGGGUGCAUUUCCACUGAAACAGUUUCAAUUGUCAACAUCGUCUACGUUGCUAAACUGCUUCACCAGAUGUAGAUAUGAAACCAAUUUCCAAAAACGAGAAACAUCAGACGAGCGCGGAAGCUGUCGUUCAUGAUCGCAGAGGAGCUAACGGAGGCUCGGAUCUUACGAAAAAGCCUUCGCAAACCAAGAGUAUUGGAGCCGCUGAUUUACCUGUUAUCAGUUUCUGUGUUUCUAUGUUUUUGACUAGCUUCUUCAUGCUUCAAAUUUGACUCUCAUCUUCUUCUGUUUUUUACUCAACUUGUAAUGACUGAUUCACUCUUUACUGUGGAAUUGAUGAAAUUGAUGAAAUCCCACAUUAAAAAUUUCAACCUUUA